Neomonachus schauinslandi (Hawaiian monk seal) is the source of this 1196-nucleotide long non-coding RNA. RefSeq lists it as uncharacterized. Lineage: Eukaryota; Metazoa; Chordata; Mammalia; Carnivora; Phocidae. The transcript has 3 exons. The record is from RefSeq and is a predicted model, not a curated record.
UCUAGCACUCAUGCCUAGAAGCCACAGCGGUGACCUUCCACACGAGGCUGUUGACCAUUCCCAGUGCCCCUGGGCUCCACGCCUGCGCUGGCCCACUGAGAAGCAGUAGGAAACGCUGAGACACCGGCGCUCAUGACCUGCACUGGUCUCCCAGCCCUGGGCUGUCUGGUGCACAGGGCCUGCCCAGCACGAAGGUGUACUAUGCGGCAAGGGAGGUGGCCCCAUGGCCCUACGCCAAGAAGCUGAGAAGGAGUCAGGUCCCACCAACAGCCCAGGGUCUGGGGUUUGAAGAAUGUCAGUGUGGACAAAAGACUUCAUCCCUCCAAUUCCUCAUCUCCUCUGAAAACAAGACCACGGUGGCAUUGGCAGGACCCGUGGAGGGCACAGGUGCGUCCUGGCACGUGGCGGGUGGAGACCUCACCUGUGCUCGGCUGCACGCCGGUCACGGUCUCAGCCCUGCGGCAGAUGCGGUAGCGACGCGCAGGUGGUGCCUGUUUUGGUAACGACCUCUGUGCCCCUGCGUGUCCCGUGUAUCGCGUCUUGCGUUUGCAAGCCGCCUCGGGGGGUCCCCAGGCCCCACCCCUGGCACGGGCGUCCGGAUCCAGGAGCUGUGCUCUGCGAGGAGCCCCAGCCGACCUGACAGCCGCUCUGGCCGCCGCUCUCCCUGUCCUCCAGGAGCUCACUUACAUCCGGCCGUGAGCUCCUCGAGGCCAGAGCCCGCGUCUGCCUCCGCUCAGCGCUGCCCGAGACCCCCACCGAGCGCAGGGCCCCGCAGCCCCCGUCUCCUGGCCGCUUCUGUGGUGCCUCAAAGCAGCAGCUUCACCAGCGUCUGCGUGCAUAUUUUCUGAAGUUGCCGUUUCAACCCGGAUGCUGCAGACAGAUGAAACGGGGAAACUCUCCCAUUCGUGCGGUAGCGGAGGACUGACUGUACUCUGCGUGUUAGCUUGGGCAGGUAUCUUAGGGUGGUAAGGGGGACUUUGGGGAAAUCGGCCUGAGAAGGAUGUGACGGUUCAUCCCCGCACGUUUUAUCUCAUCGGCUCUAACGAGUCGGCUGGGUGUUGCUGUGAGUUUCUGGUGGCUGAAAAGGCCUGUUGGUCCUGGUUCUGCAAGCCGUGUCACUGAGGCUCCCGGGAAGGGGGCACGCGGGGCGUCCGUAUUGCCUGUCACAGCUGCGUGCGCAUCUGCUUAUUUCAAAA